GAGGUGGCUCGGCUUCCCGCUACAAGAAGUAAAUCCCCAAAUCCAGCCGUUCCCUAAUCACCAUCACGGCUCCCACCACUAGAAUGAACCUGUGAUCACCACCUUAGAAACAAGCCCAGAAUUGCUUGCUGGAUGAUGAAGGACUCACAGCCAACAACCAGUCAACUGCUACACGUCACGGCAUUUCUCUAACGAUGUGCCUCUCCCAGCUGGCAGCAGCCUCUCCAGCCUGGCCAUGACCCUGACAUCCAAGAGAACCUUGCACAGUUUGGGAAUAGCUUCUCUGAGCCAAGCCUUACUCUGCAACCUGCAAGUGAAAUGAGAGGAAAUUCAAGAGACCAAGAUACAAAGCCAGACCAAAGGGUUUUACUGCCCCUUCAUUCCCGCUGGAGAUAAAGAUUACUGGUACACUGGUUCUCGCUUUCCAUCAAAGCAAGGAUUCCUUUCAACAUCCAAACAGUUGUGAGGUCCUGAACUGCUGAGCUCACCUGGCCUAGGGGCACUCAAAAGGUGUUUGUCUGCAGCCCACAGCCAGGGUCUGUGGGUGUAUUUGAGUAAAUGUUUCCAAGGAUGGCAGCAAUCUGCUCACUUGUAUUACAUCCAUGGGGCAGAAA
Molecule: long non-coding RNA, 614 nt
Organism: Capra hircus (goat)
Lineage: Eukaryota; Metazoa; Chordata; Mammalia; Artiodactyla; Bovidae
Exons: 3
Source: RefSeq, a predicted model, not a curated record